RNAcentral lists this non-coding RNA (124 nucleotides) under Peromyscus maniculatus bairdii (prairie deer mouse). The record is from RNAcentral. Lineage: Eukaryota; Metazoa; Chordata; Mammalia; Rodentia; Cricetidae.
GUGUUGUAUGAAAGGAAAAAAGGUUAGCACUCCCCUUGACAAGGAUGGAAGAGGCCCUUGGGACUAACAACACACAUAUUUAAGGCAUUGCCACCUACUUUGUGGCAUCUAAGCACUGUUUUUC